CGGUAACAUUUCUAGCUUGCUAGAAGAUGACGAGUGGCGGACGGGUGAGUAAUGCUUGGGAACUUGCCUUUGCGAGGGGGAUAACAGUUGGAAACGACUGCUAAUACCGCAUAAUGUCUUCGGACCAAACGGGGCUUAGGCUCCGGCGCAAAGAGAGGCCCAAGUGAGAUUAUCUAGUUGGUAAGGUAGCGGCUUACCAAGGCGACGAUCUCUACCUGUUCUGAUAGGAAGAUCA
Molecule: ribosomal RNA, 235 nt
Filed under: uncultured Alteromonadaceae bacterium
Lineage: Bacteria; Pseudomonadati; Pseudomonadota; Gammaproteobacteria; Alteromonadales; Alteromonadaceae
Description: partial 16S ribosomal RNA
Rfam family: Bacterial small subunit ribosomal RNA
Source: RNAcentral